UUGAAUAUCUAUUCAAAUAUUCCAAACAAAAGAUACUAAAAGGCUAUUCUGUUACCUGCCACAAUAAAAAUAAAUUUCCUUCCAACUUAAUGCAAUUACAAGUGAUUUCCUGUAAAAGGAAAAAUAAACCUUCAGGAUAUUUUGCAGAAUAUUUUACUUACUUGCAAGAAAAGUCACAUCCUUUUGUUUUUAUCCCCCUCCUUACUUUAGUGGCUUGUUUAACCUCUUUUAACAUGUAAAUAUUAUUAAAUACUAUUUAAUAUUCAUUAUAGGGCUCCAAACACCGGUUGGUCUUAAAUAGAUAUGGUUUUAUUCAUUCUCCUUUCAGCUGAAUUGUGUGUGCAAUCAAAGAAUAAUCAGCUAGAGUCAUGACUGAGAUUUUGAAUUUAUGACCACCGAGGUAGAAAAGAGCUGUUUCUUCUGGAGAAUUGACAGAAGUGACCAUGCCAAGGCUUUUUUGGGGAAAGUCAUUCCAUUUAACAGCCUUGAAUUUUGGUCAACUAAAUGGACGUGCCACGAAUGGACUGCAUGAGUGACAUUAGAAGACCAAGUAAAUACGUCUGAAGCAGAGUGCUGUGCAUGGAAUUGGGACAGGAACACUUCGCUGUUUGGUGUCACUUGAGCCCUGGAUCUCAUCUGUGGCUGUGGCAGAGCGACAGGAAAACAAAGAGAGAAUUCUGGCUGGCUGGGCUGGUGUGAAGAUCCCUGCCAUGGGGCUGAGCUGAAGGUGUGCAAGGAGAAGGGAGCAGGAGCAGAGUGAGAAGCCAGCUGUGAACAGCACUGCUCUCUUCUGCUGCUGAACGAGCUCUUCUAGAAAAUGUCAAAGAACAUCCUCAUCAUCCAAAACCAUUUUUAAAAUGAUUGCUAAUAUGGCUCAAUUAUGCUUUCUUUCCCUGCACCCAUGUGUUUAAAUGUGAAAGAAAAUGGUGAGAGUGACUGCUAAAGAUGCCUGAUAGUGCAUAUUUGCUUGGAAGUAUAUUUUCAUAUCAAGCAAAUGUCAGUGCAAACACCUGCAAUCUGCAUUGCUUGUAACUGUAAGAAACAAAUGCAAGUUGGUUCACCACCACCAUUCUGAAUAAAGCUCCUGCUGCUCUGUG
Molecule: long non-coding RNA, 1097 nt
Organism: Vidua chalybeata
Lineage: Eukaryota; Metazoa; Chordata; Aves; Passeriformes; Viduidae
Exons: 3
Source: RefSeq, a predicted model, not a curated record